AAGUCGUAACAAGGUUUCCGUAGGUGAACCUGCGGAAGGAUCAUUAACACGAAUUAUUUAUUAUCCAAUAUCAAAAACCAAACGUGAACCUUUUUCCUCCCUAUAUAUAGAAUAUAUUUAUAUAUGCUAUGUAUAGGCUAACCUUAUAUAAAAUUUUAACCCUUUAAACUUCAACUAGUUUUAAUUUAUAAUUAAAACAUCUAAACUAAGAAAGACAAGGUUAUUCGAAAGAGUAAACUUCAACUUUUUUCGAUUUACGAAAAAUUUAAAGAACAACUCUUAACAAUGGAUAUCUUGGUUCUC
RNAcentral lists this unclassified non-coding RNA (303 nucleotides) under fungal sp. Its description in RNAcentral is "partial internal transcribed spacer region". The stretch from base 1 to 46 matches the Rfam family "Eukaryotic small subunit ribosomal RNA", at positions 1786 to 1831 of the family's 1831-position model. The record is from RNAcentral. Lineage: Eukaryota; Fungi. RNAcentral also lists the same sequence under 2 other names.